RNAcentral lists this ribosomal RNA (492 nucleotides) under uncultured bacterium. RNAcentral's name for it is "partial 16S ribosomal RNA". It matches the Rfam family "Bacterial small subunit ribosomal RNA", at positions 29 to 507 of the family's 1533-position model. The record is from RNAcentral.
AGUGAACGCUGGCGGUAGGCCUAACACAUGCAAGUCGAACGGCAGCACAGUAAGAGCUUGCUCUUACGGGUGGCGAGUGGCGGACGGGUGAGGAAUACAUCGGAAUCUACUUUUUCGUGGGGGAUAACGUAGGGAAGCUUACGCUAAUACCGCAUACGACCUACGGGUGAAAGCAGGGGAUCUUCGGACCUUGCGCGAUUGAAUGAGCCGAUGUCGGAUUAGCUAGUUGGCGGGGUAAAGGCCCACCAAGGCGACGAUCCGUAGCUGGUCUGAGAGGAUGAUCAGCCACACUGGAACUGAGACACGAUCCAGACUCCUACGGGAGGCAGCAGUGGGGAAUAUUGGACAAUGGGCGCAAGCCUGAUCCAGCCAUACCGCGUGGGUGAAGAAGGCCUUCGGGUUGUAAAGCCCUUUUGUUGGGAAAGAAAAGCAGCAGGUUAAUACCCCGCUGUUCUGACGGUACCCAAAGAAUAAGCACCGGCUAACUUCGUG